RNAcentral lists this ribosomal RNA (468 nucleotides) under uncultured bacterium. RNAcentral describes it as "partial 16S ribosomal RNA". It matches the Rfam family "Bacterial small subunit ribosomal RNA", at positions 28 to 507 of the family's 1533-position model. The record is from RNAcentral.
GACGAACGCUGGCGGCGUGCUUAACACAUGCAAGUCGAACGGAAAGGCCCUGCUUUUGUGGGGUGCUCGAGUGGCGAACGGGUGAGUAACACGUGAGUAACCUGCCCUUGACUUUGGGAUAACUUCAGGUAACUGGGGCUAAUACCGGAUAGGAGCUCCUGCUGCAUGGUGGGGGUUGGAAAGUUUCGGCGGUAGGGGAUGGACUCGCGGCUUAUCAGCUUGUUGGUGGGGUAGUGGCUUACCAAGGCUUUGACGGGUAGCCGGCAUGAGAGGGUGACCGGCCACAUGGGGACUGAGAUACGGCCCAGACUCCUACGGGAGACAGCAGUGGGGAGUAUUGCACAAUGGGCGCAAGCCUGAUGCAGCAACGCCGCGUGCGGGAUGACGGCCUUCUGGUUGAAAACCGCUUUCGCCUGUGACGAAGCGUGAGUGACGGUAAUGAAUGAAGAAGCACCGGCUAACUACGUG